Molecule: small RNA, 29 nt
Filed under: Bombyx mori (domestic silkworm)
Lineage: Eukaryota; Metazoa; Arthropoda; Insecta; Lepidoptera; Bombycidae
Description: ovarian small RNA-19858
Source: RNAcentral
UAAUGUUGUGGUGAGUAGCCUGUAGAGGC